GGCAGCCUGAGCCAAAGAGACUGACAAGGGAGUGAGGGAACCUGUUUUGGUGUAAUGUGGCCCAUGGUCAGAGAAUAGAAUCUCCUGAAUUGGAAGGUUUAAGUCAACAGCAUCCUUGAUGGUGUCUUUCAGAUCUCGAAAGCAAAGCAUCGGACUCCCUCGAGCCACAAUAUGGACAAUGUUUCUGAGGACCAGCUGCCCCGAGCUAAACUUUUCCAGCCAUUGAAGAUCAUGAGCAAUUUAUCCCAUGCCACUCCUGCCGCCACAAAGGUCAAAUUCCCCACCAGUCACCAUACAGAAGAGAAUCCAUUACAGGUGCUGGAAAUAAGCAACACUCCCCCAAGCACCGUUCAGCAGAGCAAUGCAGGUCAGACCAGAGGCCAGGUCCUACAAAAGCGGGUCAAAGGGCCCAUAGAUGGUGCCAGCAACCAGCCGAAGAACCAACCGAUCACAAGCUUCAAGAACCUGCCGAGGUCAAAAUAAAAUCACCAGGGAGAGCAAGAUUCCAUCUGUUCUCGAGGGACCAGGACUACAGGAGUACUAAAAAGUAGGGAGGCUUUUUCUUAAGACGCAUUUUAAGCAGUAUGCUCUGAGGCUGGGAAGUGGAAGGGGAGGUGUGCACACUGCAUUGGUGCUUCCUCCACAGCCUCUCUACAGGUUUUUUUUUCUUUUUCUUUUUCUUUUUUUUUGCACUGUGCUCCAGCUGUUAGUUUCCUUUAAGAUGAACUGUGGGUUCUUUUGUUAAUAACAUGCAAAAGAAAAGGAAACUCCAUUUGUCCAUCAGCACUCUUAGUCCAGGAGACAGCAGUAUGGAGUCCACCAUGUGGGAUUCUGCAUGCAGCACAUCCUCUCUUUUCUGUGGAAAGCUCCCACACAUGUGGGGGGGUGUGGGAGGCUAUUUAAUUAUUAAAAGAAAUUGCACACUCUUUUGAAGUAGCCCCUGCCCCCUUCUCAGAGGUUUAUACACAUUGUCUUGGAGCUGGAAAAGGUGAAGCCUAUCUGGAAUGCUGCUCAGCUGAGCGGAUGUUUGGCAGUGGGAGCAGCCAGCGGCAUUCUAAGCGCUUGGCCACGUGCAGAGCAUUUCACAUCUGAUAGGAGUGUGAAAAAGAGGUUUGGUGGCUGGCAGAGACUUUGUUAUGAGCUGGGUUGGAGGUGAACAAAGGCAAUGUAUCAGAGGGUAGCCGUGUUAGUCUGGAUCUGUAAAAGCAGCAAAGAAUCCUGUGGCACCUUAUAGACUAACAGACGUUUUGGAGCAUGAGCUUUCGUGGGUGAAUACCCACUUCCUCAGAUGCAUGUAAAGGCAAUGUGUUUUUCUUCUUAAAAACCAAACCCCUCUUUCCAGCAGUUCUCCCUCUGGUUUCUUGGAGGGACAUGCAUUUUGUAAAUCAAUACUAGACUUACCAUUUUCCUUUCUUGGCCCUGUUAUUUUCUUCACGUUGCAAAUAAAGUGGCACAGGGUGGCCA
This 1464-nucleotide long non-coding RNA is filed under the name Gopherus agassizii (Agassiz's desert tortoise). RNAcentral's name for it is "lncRNA (ENSGAGG00000022013.1)". Lineage: Eukaryota; Metazoa; Chordata; Testudines; Testudinidae. The record is from RNAcentral.